This 81-nucleotide small RNA is filed under the name Malus domestica (apple). The record is from RNAcentral. Lineage: Eukaryota; Viridiplantae; Streptophyta; Magnoliopsida; Rosales; Rosaceae.
GGACGCGAUCGUACCAACUCACUUGCACCGGAUCCUAUCAGAACUCCGAAGUUUAACGAGUUUAGGCAAGAGUAGUACUAA